Solanum tuberosum (potato) is the source of this 938-nucleotide long non-coding RNA. RefSeq lists it as uncharacterized. NCBI's taxonomy places the organism in Eukaryota, Viridiplantae, Streptophyta, Magnoliopsida, Solanales, Solanaceae. The transcript is spliced from 3 exons. The record is from RefSeq and is a predicted model, not a curated record.
AUUCAUAUGCUAGUUCUAUUCAUGCGAUACUUGACAAAAGAUAGCCUUAUAGUAUAGGUGAGUGACCGUACUUCUUAUAUGAUUAGUGUUGGUUUAAACUAGCCCGGAAGGAGAUGUAACACCUUGCACAUUUUAGCAUGUGUACUGCAAGUUAACUCCGAUAGAAGUAUUUAAACUAGAGGUAGUAAGGUGGUAAUUGGGCCAAAUGCACUACCACCUACUUGCAUUAAUUUGGCCCAAGUUGAGUAGAAGGAUAAGGGGAAAAAAUGGACAGCCAAGGCCCAAUAGUCUUAAGCCCUAAAAGGCCCAAGUGAAAAGUCCAAAUAGGUGGACCACCUACUUGCAUUAAGUAUGGCCCAAAUUGACAAGAAUAGAGGGAUAAUUCGGAGUAGGGCCCAACAAGUGUUGAAAUUCCCAAAAGCCCAAGUUAUAAGGCCAAGUAGGUGGGACCAAGUAGGUGGGUCACCUACUUGACAAUACAUGGCCAAAAUUAGUCAAGAAAUUCGGCCAUUACACCUCCUUUUUAAAGGGAUAAAGAUCAGAUCUUUUGCUUCAUUUUUACCUUGCAAAAUUUUCAGAUUUCUUAAGUUCUCUCUUGGUCUCUCUUGGCUUCAAUUAGCAGCCCUAGAACACCUUGGGUUCUUGAGUAUUGCCCCCUUUCCAAGUAAAAGUUUGAAGGAGAGUUUCAGUUCUUGAAGUACAAGUUUAGAGGAUAAAUUCCCAAACACUAAGAUUAGCACCCAAGAAGGGAGGCUGAAUCGUGACAAUUGGAUUGGUCCGAAAAUAAGGCACAGGUACUCCCGCUAGUAGACCUCCUCAAUAGGAGCAUACGACACUCAGCUACUUUUGGUAAGCUCCACGUUGCUUCGGAGCUUUACUGAGCCCUUGGUAGAUUCAUUUUGGUAUUGUAUCGUAGUUAAGGGUAAGGCGGGGUCUGU